RNAcentral lists this ribosomal RNA (229 nucleotides) under uncultured bacterium. RNAcentral describes it as "partial 16S ribosomal RNA". It matches the Rfam family "Bacterial small subunit ribosomal RNA", at positions 524 to 751 of the family's 1533-position model. The record is from RNAcentral.
UACGUAGGGUGCAAGCGUUGUCCGGAAUUAUUGGGCGUAAAGAGCUCGUAGGCGGUCUGUCGCGUCGGCUGUGAAAUCCCGGAGCUCAACUCCGGGUCUGCAGUCGAUACGGGCAAACUGGAGUACUGCAGGGGAGACUGGAAUUCCUGGUGUAGCGGUGAAAUGCGCAGAUAUCAGGAGGAACGACCGGUGGCGAAGGCGGGUCUCUGGGCAGUAGCUGACACUGAGG